This 448-nucleotide ribosomal RNA is filed under the name uncultured bacterium. RNAcentral describes it as "bacterial SSU rRNA". It matches the Rfam family "Bacterial small subunit ribosomal RNA", at positions 330 to 794 of the family's 1533-position model. The record is from RNAcentral.
ACCAGACUCCUACGGGAGGCAGCAGUCGGGAAUAUUGCGCAAUGGAGGAAACUCUGACGCAGUGACGCCGCGUAUAGGAAGAAGGUUUUCGGAUUGUAAACUAUUGUCAUUAGGGAAGAUAAAAGACUGUACCUAAGGAGGAAGCCCCGGCUAACUACGUGCCAGCAGCCGCGGUAAUACGUAGGGGGCAAGCGUUAUCCGGAUUUACUGGGUGUAAAGGGGGCGCAGACGGCGAUGCAAGCCAGGAGUGAAAGCCCGGGGCCCAACCCCGGGACUGCUCUUGGAACUGCGUGGCUAGAGUGCAGGAGGGGCAGGCGGAAUUCCUGGUGUAGCGGUGAAAUGCGUAGAUAUCAGGAGGAACACCGGUGGCGAAGGCGGCCUGCUGGACUGCAACUGACGUUGAGGCCCGAAAGCGUGGGGAGCAAACAGGAUUAGAUACCCUUGUAGC